AUGCUUUCCGUCCGCCCGCCAGCACCUCCCGGGCGGUCGGAGGACGCGGMGAGCUGGGGUCGGAGGCUGGCGGGUGGGUUAAACACCCAGCAGYGUGUUUGUGCCCACGUAGGGGCCGUGCAGGGCACGACGCGGGUCCCGUAUCUCACUGCAAGGUGUCCCAUAGACCGACACGUCCCCGCGACGUCCCCAUCCUCCGCGGGGUGGGAAGGGACAGCUGCCGGGGCGUCCUGCCCGCACCGGGAGCCCCCGAACGGAGCCCGCGGCCGGCGGGGACAAACCGCCCGCUCCGAGGCUGCCCGGGCUGCCGGCGACCGAGGAGUCGCUCUGGUUUCACAGAGCGAGGAGGGGACGGAGCAGCUGCCGGGCCGGCGAACAAGGCCAGCGCCGGCUGCACGCGGCUCCCGGCGCUUUUCCCUAGGGAAGAAGGCUACAGGGCCUGUCAGGCCGCGCUGCGCACAGCAGUGGGCACGUCCUCGGGGCGAAGCAAACCGCCGAGGUGCACGGCGUGCUGAGCGUGCGACCUGCCCCGGGAGGAGGACACCGAGCAGGGUCCCUCUGCCAGCCGGCACCAGAGCAACCCUUUUCCAGAGCCAAGCGACGGCCCCGUCACCAUCCCCAGCGCUUCCUCAUCCCCCUGUGCCAAAACAGCUCCUAAAUGGCCCUGAGGCUGCUGCUGGCUUCCCCCUUGGGAUUUCCAAGUGCAGGGGUCCUUGGCGGGGCAAGGAGGGGAAGGAAAGGGGAGCACCCGGGGUGCCGGGAGGUGGGUCCCUGCCCGCCCCAAGUGCCAAGGUUUGCACGCAGCUGCCGCAGACCCCAGCUGGGUCCUGCCGCCCUCCGAGGGCCCGGCCAGCCGCCGGCUCCGUCCGCACCUCCGGCACGGCGCCCUCGGGAACGACCGUGCAAGGAGCCCUGGAGAGCCGCCGGCCGGGGCAGCUCGGAGGGAGGCUGGGGAAGGGACGGACAGACGGAGCCUGCCGCAGGGCAGGAUGGAGCCGGGCGGGCAGAGGGAGYGGGGCCCAGGCAGAGCCACCGCUGUUUCAAGAAACGUACAUUUAG
Molecule: long non-coding RNA, 1059 nt
Filed under: Apteryx haastii (Great spotted kiwi)
Lineage: Eukaryota; Metazoa; Chordata; Aves; Apterygiformes; Apterygidae
Description: lncRNA (ENSAHAG00000013977.1)
Source: RNAcentral